This 428-nucleotide ribosomal RNA is filed under the name uncultured Raoultella sp. RNAcentral describes it as "bacterial SSU rRNA". It matches the Rfam family "Bacterial small subunit ribosomal RNA", at positions 355 to 776 of the family's 1533-position model. The record is from RNAcentral. Lineage: Bacteria; Pseudomonadati; Pseudomonadota; Gammaproteobacteria; Enterobacterales; Enterobacteriaceae.
UGGGGAAUAUUGCACAAUGGGCGCAAGCCUGAUGCAGCCAUGCCGCGUGUAUGAAGAAGGCCUUCGGGUUGUAAAGUACUUCAGCGAGGAGGAAGGCAUUAAGGUUAAUAACCUUAGUGAUUGACGUUACUCGCAGAAGAAGCACCGGCUAACUCCGUGCCAGCAGCCGCGGUAAUACGGAGGGUGCAAGCGUUAAUCGGAAUUACUGGGCGUAAAGCGCACGCAGGCGGUCUGUUAAGUCAGAUGUGAAAUCCCCGGGCUCAACCUGGGAACUGCAUUUGAAACUGGCAGGCUUGAGUCUUGUAGAGGGGGGUAGAAUUCCAGGUGUAGCGGUGAAAUGCGUAGAGAUCUGGAGGAAUACCGGUGGCGAAGGCGGCCCCCUGGACAAAGACUGACGCUCAGGUGCGAAAGCGUGGGGAGCAAACAGG